UAACUCGGGAAACCGGAGCUAAUACCGGAUAAUAUAUUGAACCGCAUGGUUCAAUAGUGAAAGACGGUUUUGCUGUCACUUAUAGAUGGAUCCGCGCCGCAUUAGCUAGUUGGUAAGGUAACGGCUUACCAAGGCAACGAUGCGUAGCCGACCUGAGAGGGUGAUCGGCCACACUGGAACUGAGACACGGUCCAGACUCCUACGGGAGGGCAGCAGGC
Molecule: ribosomal RNA, 218 nt
Filed under: uncultured Staphylococcus sp.
Lineage: Bacteria; Bacillati; Bacillota; Bacilli; Caryophanales; Staphylococcaceae
Description: partial 16S ribosomal RNA
Rfam family: Bacterial small subunit ribosomal RNA
Source: RNAcentral